CCUACGGGUGGCAGCAGUGAGGAAUAUUGGUCAAUGGCCGCAGGGCUGAACCAGCCAAGUCGCGUGAGGGAUGACGGUCCUAUGGAUUGUAAACCUCUUUUGUCAGGGAGCAAAGGGCGCCACGUGUGGCGCUUUGCGAGUACCUGAAGAAAAAGCAUCGGCUAACUCCGUGCCAGCAGCCGCGGUAAUACGGAGGAUGCGAGCGUUAUCCGGAUUUAUUGGGUUUAAAGGGUGCGCAGGCGGAGGCACAAGUCAGCGGUAAAAUCGCGGGGCUCAACCCCGCUCCGCCGUUGAAACUGUGGCCCUUGAGUGCGCGAAGGGUAGGCGGAAUGCGUGGUGUAGCGGUGAAAUGCAUAGAUAUCACGCAGAACUCCGAUCGCGAAGGCAGCCUACCGGCGCGCAACUGACGCUCAUGCACGAAAGCGUGGGUAUCGAACAGGAUUAGAUACCCCUGUAGUC
Molecule: ribosomal RNA, 459 nt
Filed under: uncultured bacterium
Lineage: Bacteria
Description: partial 16S ribosomal RNA
Rfam family: Bacterial small subunit ribosomal RNA
Source: RNAcentral